GAUGAAGAACGUAGCUAAAUGCGAUAAGUAAUGUGAAUUGCAGAAUUCAGUGAAUCAUCGAAUCUUUGAACGCACAUUGCGCCCGCUAGUAUUCUGGCGGGCAUGCCUGUUCGAGCGUCAUUUCAACCAUCAAGCCCUGUUUAGGCUUGUGUUGGGGCCCUGCGGUUGCCGCAGCCCCCUAAAUGCAGUGGCGGGCUCGUUGUCACUCCGAGCGCAGUAGCGUAUCUCGCUCUGGGCGUGGCGGCGGGUGCUAGCCGUGAAACACCCACUAAGGUUGACCUCGGAUCAGGUAGGAAUACCCGCUGAACUUAAGCAUAUCAAUAAGCUGAGGA
This 332-nucleotide unclassified non-coding RNA is filed under the name soil metagenome. RNAcentral's name for it is "partial contains 5.8S ribosomal RNA, internal transcribed spacer 2, and large subunit ribosomal RNA". The stretch from base 1 to 120 matches the Rfam family "5.8S ribosomal RNA", at positions 35 to 154 of the family's 154-position model. The record is from RNAcentral.